AGUAUCAUGCCAACUAAGAGAAUCAGCUUCAUUAAGUAUAUAUAAUGAAAUUAAACGACAAUGCAAAUCCAACAAUCGUUCUGCCACAGCUUCAGUCAUUUCAUGAUAAGACUUAUACGAUGUGUUUAAUUUCUCGCUAUCAAAAAUAAGAAAUUUAAUUAAAAAAAAAGAAUUUACAAUGAUUUACUAUGAAUACCUUGAUUGUAAAGAAAUUAAAUUUUUAGCCUGUUGAUUAUAACACCAUAAAGAAUUUCGUAUUAAUGCAGCUGCUCCUAAAGUAGCUGUUAAUACUGUCAAAUCUGCAUGAUCUAAUGAUUCUUGAAUAAGUAAAUAAGUCUCAUUUUCCAUUAAAUUUGUCAAACCGGAAUGACGUUCAAAUGCAGCUUGAAAAUCUGCUUCCCACCACAUAAUGAUUUUAACAGCAGCGAAUGAAGCAUGCCUUGGGAAAUCAAGUUUUCCGCCGCUUACACGCGAACAAAUUGGCUCUUUCAACACGGUUUGCAUUUCCUGCAUCAUAAUAUCAUAUGUAUGAUAUUAACUGAUAAUAAAUUCUUUAUUAUUUUGUAAAA
Molecule: long non-coding RNA, 569 nt
Organism: Apis cerana (Asiatic honeybee)
Lineage: Eukaryota; Metazoa; Arthropoda; Insecta; Hymenoptera; Apidae
Source: RefSeq, a predicted model, not a curated record